This 465-nucleotide ribosomal RNA is filed under the name uncultured bacterium. RNAcentral's name for it is "partial 16S ribosomal RNA". It matches the Rfam family "Bacterial small subunit ribosomal RNA", at positions 28 to 507 of the family's 1533-position model. The record is from RNAcentral.
GACGAACGCUGGCGGCGUGCUUAACACAUGCAAGUCGAACGGAAAGGCCCUGCUUGCCGGGUACUCGAGUGGCGAACGGGUGAGUAACACGUGGGUGAUCUGCCCUGCACUUCGGGAUAAGCCUGGGAAACUGGGUCUAAUACCGGAUAGGAGCCAUUUUUAGUGUGAUGGUUGGAAAGUUUUUUCGGUGUAGGAUGAGCUCGCGGCCUAUCAGCUUGUUGGUGGGGUAAUGGCCUACCAAGGCGGCGACGGGUAGCCGGCCUGGGAGGGUGGACGGCCACAGUGGGACUGAGAUACGGCCCAGACGCCUACGGGAGGCAGCAGUGGGGAAUAUUGCACAAUGGGGGCGAGCCUGAUGCAGCGACGCCGCGUGGGGGAUGACGGCCUUCGGGUUGUAAACUCCUUUCGCUAGGGACGAAGCUUUUUGUGACGGUACCUAGAUAAGAAGCACCGGCUAACUACGUG